This is a small nucleolar RNA of Python bivittatus (Burmese python), 123 nucleotides long. RefSeq annotates it as small nucleolar RNA SNORD10. NCBI's taxonomy places the organism in Eukaryota, Metazoa, Chordata, Lepidosauria, Squamata, Pythonidae. The record is from RefSeq and is a predicted model, not a curated record.
GUUCCGUGAUGAUCACCCCAUGCGUGUCAUCUGACCCCAUGCCCCAACUUUCCCUUCCGGCCAGCGUUCUGCUGGGCAGGUGGAGGAAUCCUGGGGACCAGGGGGAAGUGAUCAUACCUGAAC